RNAcentral lists this ribosomal RNA (492 nucleotides) under uncultured bacterium. RNAcentral describes it as "partial 16S ribosomal RNA". It matches the Rfam family "Bacterial small subunit ribosomal RNA", at positions 29 to 507 of the family's 1533-position model. The record is from RNAcentral.
AGUGAACGCUGGCGGUAGGCCUAACACAUGCAAGUCGAACGGCAGCACAGUAAGAGCUUGCUCUUACGGGUGGCGAGUGGCGGACGGGUGAGGAAUACAUCGGAAUCUACUUUUUCGUGGGGGGUAACGUAGGGAAAAUUACGCUAAUACCGCAUACGACCUACGGGUGAAAGAAGGGGAUCUUCGGACCUUGCGCGAUUGAAUGAGCCGAUGUCGGAUUAGCUAGUUGGCGGGGUAAAGGCCCACCAAGGCGACGAUCCGUAGCUGGUCUGAGAUGAUGAUCAGCCCCCCUCGAACUGAGCCACCGUCCAGACUCCUACGGGAGUCAGCAGUGGGGAAUAUUGGACAAUGGUCUCAAGCCUGCUCCAGCCAUACCGCGUGGGUGAAGAAGGCCUUCGGGUUGUAAAGCCCUUUUGUUGGGAAAGAAAAGCAGCAGGUUAAUACCCCGCUGUUCUGACGGUACCCAAAGAAUAAGCACCGGCUAACUUCGUG